GGAGAUUACUUAAAACAAAAAUCAGAAAAAGGAGAUAAUGUAAAAUCCUCUCCUUCGUCGGAACCAUACUACGCCACCUAAUUGCGAUUUGAGCCAGCGCAACCCAUACCUUCUUCUCUCUUUCACCACUGUUCUUUCGCCAUACCUCUUUCCUUUCAUCACCGUUCUCUCUCUCUGUUAUAUACAUGAGCUGAACAUGUAUGAUCGGGUUCAGUUCUGUGAAUAUUGGACAGAUUGUGAACCAAAAGUUGGACAAAAUGCUGAGAGGUUCUAAGAAUUUUGGACUACAAACACAACAUCCGUAAUAUGUCCGUUAUAGCUCAAGUUGACGACGUGGAUGCAGUUGAUAUUGGAGUAGACAUGCCAUUGACAUUAUUGCAGGUUCAUUCUAUCACUAAGACGGUAUCAAGCGGUGACUAUCAUUCCCAGAGAAGUGAAAGAAGCAAAGGAACAGACGUUAUCAAGCGGUGACAAUCGUUCCCAGAGAAGUGAAAGAAGCAAAUGAAUACUGUAAGUACAACUAACCUGGAGUUAAAUAGGAGAAUAAAUCAUCUUGCCCUGAUCUUUGCUUGUACGUAGUGGUGUUAGUGUCAGAAAAUUACGGGAUAAGUACAUAUGAAGUUUAUAUAAAAUAGAGUUGAAUAUGAAAACAAAUACCUGAGAAGUUUAAGUAAUCUGAUCAAUAGAUUCCUAGCUACUUAAUGGGAAAUAAUCUU
Non-coding RNA from Camelina sativa (false flax), 716 nucleotides. The record is from RefSeq and is a predicted model, not a curated record. Lineage: Eukaryota; Viridiplantae; Streptophyta; Magnoliopsida; Brassicales; Brassicaceae.